GCAGCCGCCGCGGUAAUACGUAGGGGGCGAGCGUUAUCCGGAAUUAUUGGGCGUAAAGCGUGCGCAGGCGGUUCUAUAAGACAGAUGUGAAAUCCCCGGGCUCAACCUGGGAACUGCAUUUGUGACUGUAGAGCUGGAGUGCGGCAGAGGGGGAUGGAAUUCCGCGUGUAGCAGUGAAAUGCGUAGAUAUGCGGAGGAACACCGAUGGCGAAGGCAAUCCCCUGGGCCUGCACUGACGCUCAUGCACGAAAGCGUGGGGAGCAGACAGGAUUAGAUACCCCCGUAGUCCCUGUCUCUUAUAC
This 302-nucleotide ribosomal RNA is filed under the name uncultured bacterium. RNAcentral describes it as "partial 16S ribosomal RNA". It matches the Rfam family "Bacterial small subunit ribosomal RNA", at positions 508 to 807 of the family's 1533-position model. The record is from RNAcentral.